This 282-nucleotide long non-coding RNA is filed under the name Pelobates cultripes (western spadefoot toad). The record is from RNAcentral. Lineage: Eukaryota; Metazoa; Chordata; Amphibia; Anura; Pelobatidae.
UAGAUAGAUAGAAACAUAGAAUGUGACGGCAGAUAAGAACCAUUCGGCCCAUCUAGUCUGCCCAAUUUUCUAAAUACCUUCAUUAGUCCCUAGUCUUAUCUUAUAGUUAGGAUAGCCUUAUGCCUAUCCCACGCAUGCUUAAACUCCUUUACUGUGUUAACCUCUACCACUUCAGCUGGAAGGCUAUUCCAUGCAUCCACUACCCUCUCAGUAAAGUAAUACUUCCUGAUAUUAUUUUUAAACCUUUGCCCCUCUGAUUUAAGACUAUGUCCUCUUGUUGUG